UGGGGAAUCUUGCACAAUGGGGGAAACCCUGAUGCAGCGACGCCGCGUGAACGAUGAAGCCCUUCGGGGUGUAAAGUUCUUUCGACGGGAACGAUAAUGACGGUACCCGGAGAAGAAGCUGCGGCUAACUACGUGCCAGCAGCCGCGGUAAUACGUAGGCAGCGAGCGUUGUUCGGAGUUACUGGGCGUAAAGAGUGCGUAGGCGGUUGAUCAAGUUUUGUGUGAAAUCUCCCGGCUCAACUGGGAGGGUGCGC
This 254-nucleotide ribosomal RNA is filed under the name uncultured prokaryote. RNAcentral's name for it is "partial 16S ribosomal RNA". It matches the Rfam family "Bacterial small subunit ribosomal RNA", at positions 355 to 626 of the family's 1533-position model. The record is from RNAcentral.